This 229-nucleotide ribosomal RNA is filed under the name uncultured bacterium. RNAcentral describes it as "partial 16S ribosomal RNA". It matches the Rfam family "Bacterial small subunit ribosomal RNA", at positions 104 to 334 of the family's 1533-position model. The record is from RNAcentral.
CGGGGUGAGUAAUGCUUGGGAAUCUAGCUUAUGGAGGGGGAUAACUACGGGAAACUGUAGCUAAUACCGCGUAGAAUCGGGAGAUGAAAGUGUGGGACCUUCGGGCCACAUGCCAUAGGAUGAGCCCAAGUGGGAUUAGGUAGUUGGUGAGGUAAAGGCUCACCAAGCCGACGAUCUCUAGCUGGUCUGAGAGGAUGACCAGCCACACUGGAACUGAGACACGGUCCAG